GUGCUCCCUUUGGCAACACAUAUAUUAAACUUUGGAAAAUAAGAGAAGAUUAUCAUGGCUACUCCAUAAGGAUAACACACAAAUUUGUGAAGUGUUCCAUAUUUUU
RNAcentral lists this small nuclear RNA (106 nucleotides) under Spermophilus dauricus (Daurian ground squirrel). Lineage: Eukaryota; Metazoa; Chordata; Mammalia; Rodentia; Sciuridae. The record is from RNAcentral.